Molecule: small RNA, 307 nt
Filed under: Caenorhabditis elegans
Lineage: Eukaryota; Metazoa; Nematoda; Chromadorea; Rhabditida; Rhabditidae
Description: Unclassified non-coding RNA Y111B2A.38
Source: RNAcentral
GAAGCAGAAGCCGUCAUCAUCAUCUGUAACUCCAUCAAAACCAGCUGCUCCAACAGCUUCAACACCGAAAAAAGAGGAAAUCGGGACUCUUGAGACGUUCCUGAAGAAUAUAUUUGCAAAUUUAGAUGCAAAAGGGAAACUUUAUCAGGAGAAAAAGUUGAAAACUUUCGAUACGGAGACUUUAAAGGAGAUAACAACGUUUAUAGAUGUAAUGAAGCAUCAUAAAACUGAAAAAGUUAAUAUGGAACCGUUGAUUUAUUCGUUGGCGAAAUCAUUUGGAAUGACUACGCAAGAAGUUAUGAAACAG